GUGGGGAAUAUUGGACAAUGGGCGCAAGCCUGAUCCAGCCAUGCCGCGUGAGUGAUGAAGGCCUUAGGGUUGUAAAGCUCUUUUGUCCGGGAAGAUAAUGACUGUACCGGAAGAAUAAGCCCCGGCUAACUUCGUGCCAGCAGCCGCGGUAAUACGAAGGGGGCUAGCGUUGUUCGGAAUCACUGGGCGUAAAGCGCACGUAGGCGGACCAUUAAGUCCGGGGUGAAAGCCUGGAGCUCAACUCCAGAACUGCCUUUGAUACUGAUGGUCUCGAGUAUGGAAGAGGUUGGUGGAACUGCGAGUGUAGAGGUGAAAUUCAUAGAUAUUCGCAAGAACACCGGUGGCGAAGGCGGCCAACUGGUCCAUUACUGACGCUGAGGUGCGAAAGCGUGGGGAGCAAACAGGAUUAGAUACCCGGGUAGUCC
This 425-nucleotide ribosomal RNA is filed under the name uncultured bacterium. Its description in RNAcentral is "partial 16S ribosomal RNA". It matches the Rfam family "Bacterial small subunit ribosomal RNA", at positions 354 to 796 of the family's 1533-position model. The record is from RNAcentral.